UUUUCCAUUUCUUCUUCCCCAGUUUUCCUAAAUCAUGGUCUUCUACCUUCCUUUUUCCCUUAUCUCUCGGAGCUGCAAACGAAGUGUUGCUUGAGGCUCCCAUCUGAUUGAUUUGGAUUUGAAGCUUAUCCUGCUCUUCCAUUGUUUCUAUUAACGCUUGACGCAAUUGACUAUUAAGCAAUUUUUUUGUCUUCCACAACCCUUCUAGAGAAGAUACCUUGUUCC
This 225-nucleotide long non-coding RNA is filed under the name Panax ginseng (ginseng). RNAcentral's name for it is "long non-coding RNA (PGIN_LNC003481)". The record is from RNAcentral. Lineage: Eukaryota; Viridiplantae; Streptophyta; Magnoliopsida; Apiales; Araliaceae.